This 269-nucleotide ribosomal RNA is filed under the name uncultured bacterium. RNAcentral's name for it is "partial 16S ribosomal RNA". It matches the Rfam family "Bacterial small subunit ribosomal RNA", at positions 793 to 1055 of the family's 1533-position model. The record is from RNAcentral.
GUCCACGCUGUAAACGAUGACGACUAGGUGUGGGGGGGUCAGUCCCUUCCGUGCCGCAGCUAACGCAUUAAGUCGUCCGCCUGGGGGAGUACGGCCGCAAGGUUGAAACUCAAAGGAAUUGACGGGGGCCCGCACAAGCGGUGGAGCAUGUGGUUCAAUUCGAUGCAGAGCGAAGAACCUUACCUGGGCUUGACAUGUAGGAAGUAGAAACCCGAAAGGGGGACGACCUGUUAAGUCAGGAGCCUACACAGGUGGUGCAUGGCUGUCGU